CCUACGGGGGGCAGCUGUGGGGAAUAUUGGGCAAUGGGCGCAAGCCUGACCCAGCAACGCCGCGUGAAGGAAGAAGGCUUUCGGGUUGUAAACUUCUUUUCUCAGGGACGAAGAAAGUGACGGUACCUGAGGAAUAAGCCACGGCUAACUACGUGCCAGCAGCCGCGGCAAUACGGAGGCGGCAAGCGUUAUCCGGAUUUACUGGGUGUAAAGGGCGGGUAGGCGGGACUGCAAGUCAGAUGUGAAAACCACGGGCUCAACCUGUGGCCUGCAUGUGAAACUGUAGUUCUUGAGUACUGGGGAGGCAGACGGAAUUCCUGGUGUAGCGGUGAAAUGCGUAGAUAUUAGGAGGAACACCAGUGGCGAAGGCGGUCUGCUGGACAGCAACUGACGCUGAGGCGCGAAAGCGUGGGGAGCAAACAGGAUUAGAUACCCCAGUAGUC
This 443-nucleotide ribosomal RNA is filed under the name uncultured bacterium. RNAcentral describes it as "partial 16S ribosomal RNA". It matches the Rfam family "Bacterial small subunit ribosomal RNA", at positions 338 to 795 of the family's 1533-position model. The record is from RNAcentral.